GAGUUUGAUCAUGGCUCAGAUUGAACGCUGGCGGCAUGCCUAACACAUGCAAGUCGAACGCGAAAGGUUCCUUCGGGAAUCGAGUAGAGUGGCGGACGGGUGAGUAACGCGUAGGAAUCUACCCAGUAGUGGGGGACAACUCGGGGAAACCCGAGCUAAUACCGCAUACGCCCUACGGGGGAAAGGGGGCCUCUUCUUGAAAGCUCCCGCUAUUGGAUGAGCCUGCGUCGGAUUAGCUGGUUGGUGGGGUAAAGGCCUACCAAGGCGACGAUCCGUAGCUGGUCUGAGAGGACGAUCAGCCACACUGGGACUGAGACACGGCCCAGACUCCUACGGGAGGCAGCAGUGGGGAAUAUUGGACAAUGGGCGCAAGCCUGAUCCAGCAGCCGCGGUAAUACG
RNAcentral lists this ribosomal RNA (399 nucleotides) under uncultured Gammaproteobacteria bacterium. RNAcentral's name for it is "bacterial SSU rRNA". It matches the Rfam family "Bacterial small subunit ribosomal RNA", at positions 9 to 410 of the family's 1533-position model. Lineage: Bacteria; Pseudomonadati; Pseudomonadota; Gammaproteobacteria. The record is from RNAcentral.